RNAcentral lists this ribosomal RNA (354 nucleotides) under Parachlamydiales bacterium. RNAcentral describes it as "partial 23S ribosomal RNA". It matches the Rfam family "Bacterial large subunit ribosomal RNA", at positions 2561 to 2925 of the family's 2925-position model. Lineage: Bacteria; Pseudomonadati; Chlamydiota; Chlamydiia; Parachlamydiales. The record is from RNAcentral.
GGUCCCAAGGGUUUGGCUGUUCGCCAAUUAAAGCGGUACGCGAGCUGGGUUCAAAACGUCGUGAGACAGUUUGGUCCCUAUCUGUUGCGGGCGCAGGAUACUUGAAAGGAGCUGCUUCUAGUACGAGAGGACCGAAGUGGACGAACCAAUGGUGUUCCGGUUGUACUGCCAAGUGCAUCGCCGGGUAGCUAUGUUCGGAAAGGAUAAGCGUUGAAAGCAUCUAAACGCCAAGCCUCCCUUAAGAUAAAGUAUCCCUAUGAGACUCCACGAAGAUCACGUGGUUGAUAGGUUGGGUGUGGAAGUGCAGUAAUGCAUGAAGCUAACCAAUACUAAUUAGUCCAUAGGCUUGACCAC